GUGAUAACUAUCUCGGGAGUUAGUCUGCGGGGGAUAAGCUCCGUAGUCGAGAGGGAAACAACCCAGAUCGUCAGCUAAGGUCCCAAAGUAAUACUCAGUCACUAAGGAAGUUGAUCUGCAAUGACAGCCAGGAUGUUGGCUUAGAAGCAGCCACCAUUUAAAAAGUGCGUAACAGCUUACUGGUCGAGCAGAUCUGCGCCGAUAAUGAACGGGAGUAAGUAUUACACCGAAGCUACGGGAUCCAGCAAUGGAUCGGUAGGAGAGCGCUGUAGGGGAGAUACAAGCCAUACGGUAACGAGUGGUGUCGGCCCCUACAGGUGAUUAUGCCGGAAUGAGUAACGAUAAAACAGGUGAGAAUCCUGUUCGCCGAAAGCCUAAGGUUUCCUGGGGAAGGUAAAUCCGCCCAGGGUUAGCCGGUGCCUUAGUCGAGGCCGAAAGGCGUAGACGAUGGAUAGCGGGUUAAUAUUCCUGCGCCAUGUGUGUGGAGCGAUGGAGGGACGGGC
This 503-nucleotide ribosomal RNA is filed under the name uncultured bacterium. RNAcentral's name for it is "bacterial LSU rRNA". It matches the Rfam family "Bacterial large subunit ribosomal RNA", at positions 965 to 1477 of the family's 2925-position model. The record is from RNAcentral.